CCAGGAAAGUGAAGUUCCAACACAAGAAUUAAAUUUUGCCCCAGUUUAUCAUCAAAGGACUUUUGCGAAAGUCACAUCAUUAUAGGAAUCAAGGAGAAUGACUCGACUAUAAGGUGCGUCUGAUAGGAAUCAAAGGAAUUGACUCGACUAAAAGGUACGUCUUCUAGGGGUCAAGGAGAAUGAAUCGACUAAAAGGUACGUCUUAUAGGAAUCAAGGGAGAUGACUCGACUAAAAGGUACGUCUUACUAGGAAUUAAGGGAGAUGACUCGACUAAAAGGUACGUCUUAUAGGAAUCAAAG
This 300-nucleotide long non-coding RNA is filed under the name Capsicum annuum. RNAcentral describes it as "long non-coding RNA (CANN_LNC004171)". Lineage: Eukaryota; Viridiplantae; Streptophyta; Magnoliopsida; Solanales; Solanaceae. The record is from RNAcentral.